RNAcentral lists this ribosomal RNA (482 nucleotides) under uncultured Clostridium sp. Its description in RNAcentral is "bacterial SSU rRNA". It matches the Rfam family "Bacterial small subunit ribosomal RNA", at positions 8 to 507 of the family's 1533-position model. The record is from RNAcentral. Lineage: Bacteria; Bacillati; Bacillota; Clostridia; Eubacteriales; Clostridiaceae.
AGAGUUUGAUCCUGGCUCAGGACGAACGCUGGCGGCGUGCCUAACACAUGCAAGUCGAGCGAUGAAGCUCUUCGGGAAGUGGAUUAGCGGCGGACGGGUGAGUAACACGUGGGUAACCUACCUCAAAGAGUGGGAUAGCCUCCCGAAAGGGAGAUUAAUACCGCAUAACAUUAUUUUACGGCAUCGUAGAAUAAUCAAAGGAGCAAUCCGCUUUGAGAUGGACCCGCGGCGCAUUAGCUAGUUGGUGAGGUAACGGCUCACCAAGGCAACGAUGCGUAGCCGACCUGAGAGGGUGAUCGGCCACAUUGGAACUGAGACACGGUCCAGACUCCUACGGGAGGCAGCAGUGGGGAAUAUUGCGCAAUGGGGGAAACCCUGACGCAGCAACGCCGCGUGAGUGAUGAAGGUUUUCGGAUCGUAAAACUCUGUCAUUAGGGACGAUAAUGACGGUACCUAAUGAGGAAGCCACGGCUAACUACGUG